Molecule: ribosomal RNA, 115 nt
Filed under: Lepisosteus oculatus (spotted gar)
Lineage: Eukaryota; Metazoa; Chordata; Actinopteri; Semionotiformes; Lepisosteidae
Source: RNAcentral
ACCAGCAGCCCUAUCAGUCUUCAAUUCACAAGUGGCACUGAAGCUAAGCAGGAGUAAGCUUGGCCAGUACCUGGAUGGGAGACCUCCUGGGGAAAAACUAAGGUUGCUGCUGGAA